AAGUCGUAACAAGGUUUCCGUAGGUGAACCUGCGGAAGGAUCAUUAAUACGUAUCCAAACGUUAAAACCCCCCCCGUGAACUAGGCCGUGCUCUGGAGGAACGAUGAAGACAGCAAUGCCUGUAAAUCAUAGCCGAAGGUUUUGAUUAGGCACCUCUGUUGCGUAAUCCUCGAGUCCAAUGUUGCGCUGGUAUCAGAGGCUGAUUUCCCCAAAAGGUGAAUGUUCUGAA
This 229-nucleotide unclassified non-coding RNA is filed under the name fungal sp. RNAcentral describes it as "partial internal transcribed spacer region". The stretch from base 1 to 46 matches the Rfam family "Eukaryotic small subunit ribosomal RNA", at positions 1786 to 1831 of the family's 1831-position model. Lineage: Eukaryota; Fungi. The record is from RNAcentral.